Long non-coding RNA from Neopsephotus bourkii (Bourke's parrot), 1116 nucleotides. RefSeq lists it as uncharacterized. NCBI's taxonomy places the organism in Eukaryota, Metazoa, Chordata, Aves, Psittaciformes, Psittacidae. The transcript is spliced from 2 exons. The record is from RefSeq and is a predicted model, not a curated record.
CGGAGGACGGGAGGCGGCUCCCGGCCCGGGGGGGAGGAACUACAAGUCCCGUGAAGCCGCGCCGCCCGCCCGCCCGCGGGGAUAUAUAAGGGGGGGAAUGGCCCGGCCCCGCAGUCGGAGCAUCCCUGCCUGCCGAGGCGCCGGUCCCGGCCCGCAGCCACCUGCGCGCCCGCUCCGGCGCUGGUACCCGGCUCCGCGCCGGUGGCUAUGGAGGAUGCGGGUGAUGAUGCCGCUCGCGGAGCCUCAGGGAUGCGGGGGGAAGCGCCGUUGCCCACCGGAGGGUCUAUGCUGAAGGCUCAGGGUGCAGUGACCUGAGAGGAGACAGCCAGGAUGCUACAGCACCGAUUGUGACCACAGAGCCCAGGAGCACCCUCCUGAGGAUGGGUGCUUCAGCUGCAAGCAUGGAGACAGGGAGAGCAGGGACCAGCAGGUCGCCCUGAGCUCACCAAGGAGUGAUGGAGCACUCAGGACUGUGGUGAGCUCCUUCAUCGAGGACCCACCACCAAAACCAGCUGCCCCUGGACUCACUGGGCUCCACGUUCCCUGGAGCUGACCUUGCUCCCGACUCCCAUGCAGAGCCAAAAGGACUUUAAUAGCUGCUCUCCUUUGGGAUUUGGAAAUCAUUCUUCUGGCUGGGAAGUGCUGGUGAUGGAUGGGGAAGUGCUCUUGGGUCACACAGUAGCUGGAUGCUUUCCUCUGAGGAUGACCAAGUGCUUGCCCGGUUCCAAAGAACCAACUGUGGAUUCUUUCUCUUCUUUUACCCAUCUGCUCUUCUUUUUGAUGCCUUUUGGCUCUUUGUGAGGAUGCCUGGACCCAGCCUGCAGCACGUGGCAUUCACAAUGCCUGCGGUGGGAACUGGAGGGGUGAAAGCCUUUGCAAGAGCCAUGGGGCAGAAGCUGAGCUGAUCGCAGUGCAUGGGGUUCAAAUCUGUUUGGCAGAGCCUCAUCUUGUGCCACAGCUGUUGGGUGGCCUCAGGGAGGGUCCUUCUGCCGCAGCCAGCCAAGCACCCUCAGCCCUGGCACAUCCCAUGUGGAGAGAGCAGGGAAAACAUCCAGAUGGGGGAAAAUGUCACCCUCAAACAAUUAAACCCCUCAAUAAAACCCAUUGCCUCUGUGA